CUGAGAAUGCCCUUUGCACACUA
RNAcentral lists this non-coding RNA (23 nucleotides) under Arabidopsis thaliana (thale cress). The record is from RNAcentral. Lineage: Eukaryota; Viridiplantae; Streptophyta; Magnoliopsida; Brassicales; Brassicaceae.